RNA transcript from Onychostoma macrolepis, 1433 nucleotides. RefSeq lists it as uncharacterized. NCBI's taxonomy places the organism in Eukaryota, Metazoa, Chordata, Actinopteri, Cypriniformes, Cyprinidae. The record is from RefSeq and is a predicted model, not a curated record. The transcript is spliced from 5 exons.
UUAGUUCCUAAAAUCUCACAAAUAUUAAAUACAGUUAUUCCUGACGCCUCUCUUGCUUGUAUUUGACUCGUUUCUGGUGAAAUUAGUUCGUAGAAAUGGUUUAGUGUCUUCGAACAAGUCCGUUAGCAUCUUAGCCAUUUUCAGAGGACAUAACGUUAACAUUAGGCUAACUCCAUAGACAGCUCUUAUUGAAUGUUUGGGAUUUUAUUCAUAUCUUUAUGUGUAGAUGAGAGGUUUUGACAGUUCUGUAAUAGUUUUGCUGGUAAUUUUUCAGUGGGUGAUUGGAAAUAGGCUCAUUUAUUUAACCUAAACAUAUAGUCUACUCUACACUGUACCGUUAAUCGGUGACGUCACUUACAUCAGCGGGACAAUUAACUGAAUCUAGUUCAAACGUAUUUUUAUCUCUCAUGGUAAACAAAUGUUGAUAAAAAACUGUUCUGUGAUUUCAGAAGAAAAACAAAAGCACGGCAAGAUGGGAGGCUCCAAGAUUUCACAAUUUCUGAAGGGAGCCGCAGAUGGAGAAGUAAGGAACACAAGUGAACAGGUGAAGCUUCUUAAAAUUUUAAGAGGGCUUUGACAUCCACAAAUAAGAAGUAUGAGCAAUAUUAAAUAAGUAAACCUAGAAGCAAAUUAUGUUAUGUUAAAAGAAUGUUUUCUGUAUAUUCUUCUUUCUCUUUUCUACAUUUCACCUGCUCUAGCUUGGUUCCUUGUAAUAAACCUGGCUGGCAUUGUAUACUAAAUAUUGUUGGCUCUGUGACAAAUUGCUUCUUAUGUUCCUACAUUUUUCCAUGUUGAUGGCCUGCACCCCAGACUCAGAGCGGACCUCCUGUCGGACAACAUCUCCCAGGCACAAUGAACAAUAUGGUAGGUUUUCUGGAUUCCCAGUUGAAGACAUCAGUACAUCAGAUGUUGGCCUGGACAGCUGUAUCUACAGUACACCACACUGACCUCUGCUUUUGCAUAGAAGGGAGGAACUUGUCAACAAAUCUACCUCACAGCGCAUCAAUGAAAGCAGUUUGGCAAUUACAGACGGGCAUGUUGGAUCAGGGUUAGAUCUGAAUUCUGCAGGUUUUCUGGAUUCCCAGUUGAAGACAUCAGUACAUCAGAUGUUGGCCUGGACAGCUGUAUCUACAGUACACCACACUGACCUCUGCUUUUGCAUAGAAGAUGCAGUUAUGUCCGUUUCGGCUGGCCAGAUCGGAACAGCCCUGAAUGGGAAGAUGGCAGAGCUAAGACUGGCAAUGUCCAGGAAAAAUGUUAAUCAAAAAUGAGUGUUUCCCCAGUGAGUGAGUUUGGGAAUAUUUUGAAAUGAAAUACUGAGGGAAAAAAGUGAGCGCUUUGAAAAGGCUUUAAAAAUAAAAUAAAGUCUGAAGUUGAAGUUAAAUGAAGUUAAAGUUUUACUUGAAAAGUGUGUAGUUGUCAAGUCUGUGCUG